UCCUCGGUCCUCGAUGCGAGCGGAUUGUCACAUGCUCCUGCUUGCACGGCAGAGCGCGUUUCCUCUUCUUCAUUCGAGUUCGAUUUUGCGGUGGAGAACUUUCUUCGUGGUGUGAGUGACCGAGACAUGGCGGUCAGUCAGUCGGGGCGAACACAAAAAAAAGUAGCGGUCGGAAGAAAGUUACCGAAGCCAUAUAUUGAGGCCAUACUACCGGAAUAUCCGCAUCACGUUAUCGCGAUACUUCUUUUUUUUCACAAAGUGAACCGCGACAUUCUCUCUCUCUCUCUCUCUCAUCUUUCUUUUUUAUUCUUCAACUUAUUCGUCGCGGUACAAUUUAUUCGAGUGUAUUGUGCGAUGGAACAUGGCGACCGCUCACGUGUGUUAUUCGAGACAGGUGUAACGUAUAGUGAAGCUAGUCUCUGGAGGCUUUGUGAUUCUGAAUUAAUAAUCGAAUUUAAAAUUAAAAAUUUAAUUUUCUGCCAAAGUUCUGCCGAUUGAAAAGAGAAGAUCGAACAAUGACCGGCUCGCGUACUCCUCAAAUAACAUCGAAUGUUUAUCAUACAAGAAAUAUAUCAGAUAGAGUUUACUAUGCAGUUGCGUCCUCGAUGACUUAUUUUGUGAAUCGAUUGCGAUCAUGUAUUGUCGACUGUAUAUACGUGCAACGUUACGUAGCAUUGCCGGCGGCUUUGUUUAGAGUGGCCCUCGACGAGUUCCAGUGAAAAGGUCUCCUCGUGCGUGUUGUACGCGACGUAGACGCCUGCACGGCGCACAUGUCGCUCUGGGUGUACAUACGCUCGGCAUUGUUGUUGCUGCGGAAUUGGCAAACCGCAAUUCGAUUGUUGACUGUACUCAGAUUUAAUUCGUCGAUCCCUGAAUUUACUUCGACUUCAUAUUUAUCGAUUUGUUGCAGUCACGUUUACAUGACAGACGUUAUCACGCGAGCAUAAAGUGCAGACGGCAAAUUUAUACGAUUUCUCUUCAGAUUAAGGAAACAAUAACAGGGAACCGAAAAAAAGAUUGAAUAACAUCAUAUCUUCCGACGUAGAGAACGUAUGCUGAUGAUUACGUAAACACGUCACGAUAGACGAACGUCCAUUCAUCAGUUCUCAUGCAGUAUUGAACGAAGAGGAGAAUUACCCAUUGGUUAUUCAGCUGUCGCAGACAUUGGCAUUGUGCCGAGCUUCACGAGAUUUGGAAACCCGGUCAGGCUGCAACGUUUACGAUUCGAGAGCCGGACAAUAAUUGUCGCUUUAAAAACCGAUUGUUUGAGGAUACCUGUGAGUUUAUGUUGUCUGCCUGACUGCGAAGGACAUCCUUGAAUUUUUCAGAAGCAACUCCGAGAAGCCAUUUCGCAAGGACCACACGGGAGAGAUUCGUCAGAGAAGGUGCAGCACGGGGACAGAAAAAAAGUAAAGAACGAGAACCUUGAACCAAUCGUAAAUGGCGCGGAGUGAAAGCGAUCGGUCACCACGUUUUUCCCAGAAGAGCGCGAGCCACGAAAUUAUCGGCUUGUAAAUCGAACCGAAGGAUCUCGUUCCUUUUGCGGCAAAUAAGCGGCCGCUUCGGUAAUCCAGUAGCGAAUUGAGCUCACGAAACGUCGAAAGUGAGGAACGCAAUCCUCAAUUAUCAAAACGACGUUCGGCUAGACAAGUACCUGCGCUAAACGCUAUUCAUCGUUUACGGUCAAAAUUGCAUUUUCAAGAUAACAUUUUGUCGACUUUGCACGUAUAUUAUACUACUCGGUGAAAAAUGUAAUUGUCAACUUAAUUUUUUCGAUCUGUAAGAAGUUGUUAAACUUUCUGCCAAUAAAUAAAUAUCACGUGUUGAAGUAUACGUGUAAGAUUUUCUGUAACAUUUUACGUAAAGAAAUCCUUCGAUUUUAUUGAAAAUCAUUUGGAUAAAGGUGGAGUGGACUUUGCAUUAAUUCACAUGCGGGAUACUUUGAAAAGAGAUUGUAGACGAUACGUCACACCUCCAUUCGAGAGACGAGACGAGAUAGUAC
This is a long non-coding RNA of Wasmannia auropunctata (little fire ant), 2002 nucleotides long. RefSeq lists it as uncharacterized. The transcript is spliced from 3 exons. The record is from RefSeq and is a predicted model, not a curated record. NCBI's taxonomy places the organism in Eukaryota, Metazoa, Arthropoda, Insecta, Hymenoptera, Formicidae.